GAGAUUUUGGGGUUCUGAGGGGGGAAUUGGGUGAGAAAAGAGGCAAUUUUGGGGUCAGAAAUGGUAAUUUGGGGUCAGAAAAGGAGAUUUUUGGGUUCUGAGGGUGGAAUUGGGUGAGAAAAGCAGCAAUUUGGGGUCAGAAAUGGUAAUUUUGGGUCAGAAAAGGAGAUUCUGGGGGUCUGAGGGGGGAAUUGGGUGAGAAAAGCAGCAAUUUUGGGGUCAGAAAAGGGCAAUUUGGGGUCAGAAAUGGAGAAUUUGGGGUCAGAAAAGGAGACUUUUGG
This 281-nucleotide long non-coding RNA is filed under the name Phasianus colchicus (ring-necked pheasant). Its description in RNAcentral is "lncRNA (ENSPCLG00000020230.1)". The record is from RNAcentral. Lineage: Eukaryota; Metazoa; Chordata; Aves; Galliformes; Phasianidae.